UGCUUUAUCAUCGUUGACCCUAUGGAAGAUAAAACAUCAGUGAGCUGAACUGAUUGCUCCAUAAUUGCAAUAAACUGGGCUUCAAACACGAACUCGUUCGUAAAAUGCCAACAAACCAUAUAGUUCUCCGGCAAACCACAAAACUAUUAGUCAAAUCACACAAAUCGACCCUUCCAUUGGUUUGCAUCACGCGCAACGAUGUCAUGAUUUUGCGGUGUGUCACCUUAAUUGCCCUGUUUGUAUAUAUUUAAUCUGCGUAGGUGUCCCAUCGGUUUGUCCAGCUAUAAAUAUGUUCGGCAAUUUGGAAUCUCUAUCUCGACAGCCAUAAUCCUCAAUUAAUUAACGCUUGCAUCCGAUCCGUGCGUUCGUCCAAUACCACUAACAUAGAUGUAUGUGUGUUUGCAUAAUUUGCCUCCGUUCCCGCCUCCAGCGUUUCUGUUGGCUCGCAACAAAACAGAGCGCGUAAAUCCCAACCCCCAGCAUUUUUAUUUUGAAAAACGUUUUUGUUUCUAGUUUAACCACAACCACGGCACCGUUGGUUUGAAUCUAUUGCGUCAGACAAAAUUAAAGCGUGUGAAGGAAAAUAAAUAUGCCCGAUGCAAAUACCUAAAUGCUCUAGCAAAACCACAACCGCAUGCCACUGCCACUGCUGAUGCUGUAUGUGAUUAAGAACUCAGAAAAGACACUCUGGAGUACAGCAUCGUGAUAAUGAAAAGCUCCGCAUCGAGGAAUUGAACCCCAGCCAGCAAUAGUUUUAUCGCAGCAAAUAUGGUUUUAUAAAAAGGGGGCGGGGGCAGCGGCCAAAAAUACAAACAACUAAGUCGGAAUUAAUUGUGGCAUGGCCGCGGCUGUUUGUGCAGGAGGGUGAUCUGUUUCGAGUUGAAAUUGUUCAAACUGUGUUCAAAGAGCGCGGCGAUGAUCAAUCACGACGAGAGCUGUGUAUCAAUACACGAACGAUGGGGUUGAGUAUGAUCUUAUUUCAAAUUGAAAUGAUUGUUUGCGUUUGCUCGUGAAGUGGAAUUGUAAAUUAUAGAAUGGAUUAAAAUAUUCAAUUUGGUCUGUUUUCGAGAUGAAACGAGGAACGUUAAUAUUUAUGCCACGGGGAUGUAUAUGUGUGUGAAGUGUUUACGUGAAUUGCGAGUGCAUGAAGAAUUAUUUGAGAUUCAGAGCUUAUUUUAAUUAGAUUUUGCAACAGGGAUCUGUGUGCCGAUGGCCGAAAACCAAAACAAAGAAAAAUUAAUGUAUUUCUGUAGUACUUUGUAUAAAUAACAAUACAUGUGUAUCAUUA
Long non-coding RNA from Toxorhynchites rutilus septentrionalis, 1288 nucleotides. RefSeq lists it as uncharacterized. The record is from RefSeq and is a predicted model, not a curated record. The transcript has 2 exons. NCBI's taxonomy places the organism in Eukaryota, Metazoa, Arthropoda, Insecta, Diptera, Culicidae.